AAGGAUCAUUAAUGAGGGCGUAUUGGGCUGAAAACCCAAACGAACCCCCAAUCCUUUGCUUACUGUCCCUCUUGUGGUUUGCCUGGGCGUGGCUAAAUCGUAACCUUUUUAGGUUUCGAACAGCCUUUUACCGCCCAGAAGACUACCAAAAUUAAACAUUCUAGUAAUGAUGUGUCUGAGUGAAAUAUAAAGAAGCAAAACUUUCAACAACGGAUCUCUUGGUUCCGGCAUCGAUGAAGAACGCAGCGAAAUGCGAUAAGUAAUGUGGACCGCAGUACUCAGCGACUCAUCGAAUCUUUGAACGCAUAUUGCGCCCCUUGGUAUCCCCUAUGGGCACACCUGACCGAGCGUCAUAGUGGUCAAUCAGGAAACGCUAGCACAACUUGGUUAUGGGUUUAAUUUACUCUUAUGUGGACGCCUCAAAGUUAUUGGCGGUACAAUUAGGUGUUCCAGUGUAGUUAAACACUAGAGUCACUGUAGAAAUGCUUAUUUGUACUUAUUUCAAAACUUUUUUAGCAUCUACCAAAGUUUCUGCUGGCGGAAACUUAGUGGAUGUUCCCUAAA
RNAcentral lists this unclassified non-coding RNA (564 nucleotides) under Peltigera leucophlebia. RNAcentral's name for it is "sequence contains ITS1, 5.8S rRNA gene and ITS2". The stretch from base 199 to 353 matches the Rfam family "5.8S ribosomal RNA". Lineage: Eukaryota; Fungi; Ascomycota; Lecanoromycetes; Peltigerales; Peltigeraceae. The record is from RNAcentral.